This is a long non-coding RNA of Helianthus annuus (common sunflower), 388 nucleotides long. RefSeq lists it as uncharacterized. The record is from RefSeq and is a predicted model, not a curated record. Lineage: Eukaryota; Viridiplantae; Streptophyta; Magnoliopsida; Asterales; Asteraceae. The transcript has 3 exons.
ACCUAAAUCCAUUCUUUUGCAUAUCAUCAGCCUCCAUCUUCAUCAUUUCCUCUUUCUUUCUUGAACCGCCGUAAACAACCACGGCAACCACCACCACUUGCAGCCCGUUUGACACCCUCCGAACCACCUUCACAUUGCCAGAGUUCAGUCGCAGUCACCGGGAAACCCGCAAGACGCCGCAACCAUCGGAGACCGGGAAGACGACGGAGAUACCCUCGUCGGAAAGACUCGAAGUCCUGGAAACCUUCGUUCUUUCACUGUUUCGGAUAAUCACUCCCGUUCGUUCUCUUGGAAUUACUCAAUCUUUACUCGUUCGUUAUUUCAAGGGAUCUUCAAAUGCAACUAUUGUUGAUGAUGAUGAAAUGAAAACGGAUAGCAAAGAUGCCUA